CGCGGUAUCUUGACCGUGCAAAGGUAGCAUAAUCAUUUGCCUUUUUAUUGAAGGCUAGAAUGAAGGAAAAAAUAAGAGUAUAACUGUCUCUGCCGUAAUAUAAAAAUUGCUGGUAGCGUGAAGAAGCGAAAGUAACAAAAAAAGACAAGAAGACCCUAUUAAGCUUUACUUUUAAAUUUUGUUUUUUAUCUUAAAAGAAUAAAAAACAAAAUUAUGUUAGUUUGGUUGGGGUGACUAAAAAGGAAAAAAUCCUUUUUUUAGAAAAGUACUUUAAGUUUAAGGAAAGGUCCAAGCUUUUUGAUUAUUAGAAUAAGUUACUAUAGGGAUAACAGCGUAAUUUUUUCAGAGAGUUCUUAUUGACGAAAAAGAUUGCGACCUCGAUGUUGACUUGUU
RNAcentral lists this ribosomal RNA (393 nucleotides) under Kulikovia fulva. RNAcentral's name for it is "partial 16S ribosomal RNA". It matches the Rfam family "Archaeal large subunit ribosomal RNA", at positions 2009 to 2610 of the family's 2987-position model. The record is from RNAcentral. Lineage: Eukaryota; Metazoa; Nemertea; Pilidiophora; Heteronemertea; Lineidae.